Non-coding RNA from Pocillopora verrucosa, 583 nucleotides. The record is from RefSeq and is a predicted model, not a curated record. NCBI's taxonomy places the organism in Eukaryota, Metazoa, Cnidaria, Anthozoa, Scleractinia, Pocilloporidae.
UGUGAUGAUGAAAAUUCAUCCAUGAGUGAUUAUCAUUUCAUCAGGCACUCAUGGAUGAAUUUUGUUGGGAACCUAGAGGCUCAUAAUGCAGUUCAGAAUGCUUUGUUUGGCCUCUGAAGCAUAACUGUUUUAGGUACAUGUACCAUGUUAAUGAUGGCUGUGUUGAAGGUUCCCCAAGGUUAUCCUCUUUUCUAAUAUGGCUGGUGAUCUUGAUUCUGAUUCACAGACAUUUAUUCAAUGUCAAUACCUUAUGACUCUCAUAAUUUAACACCACUGUCUUGAAGUAAAAGGAGAAGAGAAAAAAAAUGUCUUUGAUCAUACCAUGAUGACCUGAGUGUUUUAUCAGUCCCUUCUGUUGACUACAGCAAGAAAGCAGGUGUGGGAGAAAAAGUUGCCAUUCUGGAUCAGUGUAAGAAGCUAAGCUAAAAGCAUGAUAAUUAAGCUGCUACAUGAAAUACCUAUAUAUUUUGGUCAGCUGGCAGUUCAUAUAUUUUCUCUCAGUUUUUUGUCCUGGCAGUUAUGGAAAAAAAAUCAAGAUGGCUACAGAGUUCAAUGAUUGAUUUGAACUGAAAUAUGCCUAAGG